Non-coding RNA from Sus scrofa (pig), 1319 nucleotides. NCBI's taxonomy places the organism in Eukaryota, Metazoa, Chordata, Mammalia, Artiodactyla, Suidae. The record is from RefSeq and is a predicted model, not a curated record.
UCUCGGGCGACAGGCUUUGCGCGACUUGUACCGCCCGUGUAGCCGAGUUUGGGUCAUUCUUUCAGGUUUUUUUUGUUUGUCCGCGCAUCUGAGAAGUGGGUGUAGAGCAUGGUAAAGAUGGAAGAACUCUUUGUUGUUGUUGUUGUUAUCUGAGCUGGAGCUGCAGCAAUGAUGGAUCCUUUAACCCACUGCAUCUGGCCAGGGAUCAAACCCAUGCCUCUGCAGCAACCCAAGCUGCCACAGUCAGCUUCACCUGCCACAUCACAGCGGGAACUCUAGGGUGGAAGGAUUUUUUUUCUUUUCUUUUUAGGGCUGCACCUGCAGCAUAUGUAAGUUACCAGGCCAGGGGUCUAAUCAGAGCUCAGCUGCCCGUCUACACUGAUGCCUAUGCAGCAACAUGGAUUCGCGCCUCAUCUGCAACCUAUACCACAGCUCUCACUGAGCGAGGCCAGGAAUUGAACCCACGUCCUCAUGGAUAUUAGUCAGGUUCUUAAUCUGAAGAACCACAACAGGACCUCUGUGGGGUGAGAGAAUUCUUUCUGUCCCUAUUUUAUAGGUCUUCUCCCUCUUCUGUGUGCAAAGCACCAGUAAUAAGCCACUGUCAUCACCCUGGUGACCUGGGCUUCCUUUGCCAUGCCUCCUGAAGCUGUCAGCCCUUGGACCAUGUGCAAGGAAAAUCAAAAUGGAGUGGGCAUUAGUAAGAGAGCUCUCCAAAAUGGAGCCAGGAGGCCACUGGGACAAGGACGUGAUGAUAAACCAGUCUCAGUCCGGGCUUCUCUUGGUUCGCUCCAGCCUUGGAUGGGCUUUUCCCCUCACAUCCCAAGAUGACUACCGGAAGUUUCAGGUCUUGAGAGAAUAAGAAGCUUUAGGACUGGAGGCACCCAGAAAAGCCCUCUUGAAGUUGAUAUUUAGCUGGAAAUUUAUUUUAUUGUGUAUUUAAAGAUAUCUAAGGAAGAAACUUCAGUAGCUUCCUGGAUAAAUUACUCAGUGUUUAAUAACUUCUUUAGCUUUCACCUAAAUCUAUUUUCCUGAGUUUAUCUAAGACACUCUGGCUUUAUGAUCAGCAGUGUUAUUAUUCUACAUUUUCACAAUUCAGCAUUCACAGUGCAACAACCCUCACUGAGCAACAUGGGUCUCUCAGACAGUGGGAUUUAUGUGAGUUGGUUGGACAGGUGAGUUGAGGGGACUUAAAAAAAACUCCAUCCAUGGGACCAAUGGAUGAAAACUCUGUCAUGAGCAAGUGUCAGAGCUCUUGCCUUGAGCUGUGGUGACUCACUGCAUGUCCCCGGGCCCAGGAAUCCUUCAUGUUGUUUCUUCUC